GAAUGAUCGAUAUCAGUCCUGAUCAAUUUGGCUACACACUCAGAGACUGUAAAAAGAUUGUAGGGGCGUUGCUUGGCAACCGUUAGCCAGCAGCUACAAACGAAGCGGAGGAAGAACAACAAAUCAAACCCGCAAAAAGUGAGUGUUUAUUAAGCCAAAAACUAAGUAACUGGAUUCAUUUGAAGGUUUUAACGAACAAGUUGCAAUAGCAGCGAAAAAGACUUAAACUUAAGUUCACCAAUGUGAAAAGAAGAACACGAUGUCAGCACAGGAAGAAGAAGCAAAUAUCGGCAAAGUACUCAGUUUUCUUCGAGAAUGGGACCGUGGCGACAGGACGGUCCGCUGCCGCAUGUUGAACACCUUCCUGACUCAAAACACUGGGAAGACGUUUUAUGAGCUGGAGCUGGAGUUUGCACAGGUUGCCAGUCUCUUCCUGGCUCGACUCACCACCUGGAUGAGACUCACAUACAUGUUUGGGACAUUCUUGGGACUGCAGCUUAAAGCAGUUGGGAUUUUCCUUUCUGCAUCAAGCCAUGAUCAGUACUUAAUGGAGUUCCUGGAGGAUGGAGGUGUUCUCACUCUCCUGGAGAUCUUGAGCCACUAUCAGAGCAAAGAGGAGGACAAGGCAGAGGCCCUUCGUCUCCUGCUCACUGUCUCAAAUGCUGGUCGCAAGUACAAAGAGAUUAUCUGUGAAAGCCAUGGUGUGAAAGCCAUCGCAGAGUGCCUGGCUAAGUCAAACACAGAUGAAACCCAAGAGACAGCAUGGGCCCUCCUGGAGUCCCUGUCCCGUGGAAACCCCAAAUAUCAAAACCAAAUCUACAAAGGUCUGAUUGCCCUCAUGACUUGUACCUCCCCGAAGGCCCAGCAGCUGGUCCUGCACACCUUACACACUGUGCAGUCCAAAAUGAAAACAGCACAUCCCAGCAUUGUAGAGCCUCUGCUGAAUAUACUCAGGUCCCUGCACCUGGAGGUUCAGGAUGAAGCUAUAAAUUUGAUCUUGGACCUGAAGUGUUAUGAUGUGAGGCCAAUGCUGCUCGGUGGACUGGUGGCUCUGCUGAGACCUGCUAAAGAAGAAGUACAGCAGCAUAUGGAAGAAUCUGAGUCUGAGAUAAUCAUGACGACUGGAUCUCUGCCUGUGUUUGUGCAACAAGCUGCUGCAGCUAAAACUAUACGUGUUUGUGGUGUUGAAGCUUGCUGGCCGAGGACAGUCGAGAGGUUUCCCGGGAGCUUCUUUCUCUUGGAGUGGUCCAACAUCUUCUGUGCGCUAUGGGAAACAGAGAGCACACUGAUGCCCAAAAACAAGCCAGUCUGGCCUUGGAGCACUUUGUCCGCUCAUACCCAGUUAUUGAGGAACACGUGCAGAGAGUCAUUGGCAGUACACUGUUUGCGGCCUUUAUGCACAAAGCUGACACUCUGUACAUGAACAUGGAUGAAGCACAAGCAGAAACCCUUUUAACUAACAGGGUGAAUAUAACUGAAGUUUCGUUUGGUGAUAAACUCUGAAAUAGGACAAUUGGAAAUAAUCAUUUCAAGAUGCAGAUGAAGAAAAUGUAUAUUUGUUUUAGUAUAAAUACUGUUUGUAUGUUAUUAAAAGUUUCAUCCUUAUAUUAUUUUUUGUUAUUAUCUAAUACAGUUUUAUAGAGUUAUUAGUUUGCUGAACACAAUAUGUGAUUUGGAACAAUCAUAGAGAUGUGAUUGUUCAGCAUUUUACUUUACUACUUUACAUUUCUGUUAUUUUAAAUACACAUCAUACUGUACUUAAGUACACAUUUGCUGUAGUUGUACUUUUUUUUAAUGCCACUUUCUACUUCUACUCCACUACAUUUAUUCAAUAGCUUUAGUUACUAGUUAUAGGUUUGCAUUGAUAUAUGAUGCUUUCUUAUACAUGAGACUAUGCAACAGUUUAUAGAUGUGAUUCAAUUAAAACAUUUGUUGAUUGGAAUAGAAUUUACUGGCAACUAUUUUGAUAGAUAAGUCAUUAUUAUUUUAAAUAAUUUGAUCAUUUUGAGGUUUGGACUGUUGGUUUAACAAAAUAAACAUUGUGAAGGUGUCAUUUUGAGCUCUG
This is an RNA transcript of Dicentrarchus labrax (European seabass), 2065 nucleotides long. It is a transcript of the gene named armadillo like helical domain containing 1, with no coding region annotated. The transcript is spliced from 11 exons. The record is from RefSeq and is a predicted model, not a curated record. NCBI's taxonomy places the organism in Eukaryota, Metazoa, Chordata, Actinopteri, Moronidae.